Molecule: ribosomal RNA, 460 nt
Filed under: uncultured bacterium
Lineage: Bacteria
Description: partial 16S ribosomal RNA
Rfam family: Bacterial small subunit ribosomal RNA
Source: RNAcentral
CCUACGGGAGGCAGCAGUGAGGAAUAUUGGUCAAUGGACGAGAGUCUGAACCAGCCAAGUCGCGUGAAGGAUGACUGCCCUAUGGGUUGUAAACUUCUUUUAUAAGGGAGUAAACCGCGGCACGUGUGCCUUUUUGCGUGUACUUUAUGAAUAAGGAUCGGCUAACUCCGUGCCAGCAGCCGCGGUAAUACGGAGGAUCCGAGCGUUAUCCGGAUUUAUUGGGUUUAAAGGGUGCGUAGGCGGCCUUGUAAGUCAGCGGUGAAAGUCUGUGGCUCAACCAUAGAAUCGCCGUUGAAACUGGGGGGCUGGAGUAUGUGUGAGGCAGGCGGAAUGCGUGGUGUAGCGGUGAAAUGCAUAGAUAUCACGCAGAACCCCGAUUGCGAAGGCAGCGUGCCAAGGCAUGACUGACGCUGAUGCACGAAAGCGUGGGGAUCAAACAGGAUUAGAUACCCUUGUAGUC